GGAGCGUUCUGUAAGCCUGCGAAGGUGUGCUGUGAGGCAUGCUGGAGGUAUCAGAAGUGCGAAUGCUGACAUAAGUAACGAUAAAGCGGGUGAAAAGCCCGCUCGCCGGAAGACCAAGGGUUCCUGUCCAACGUUAAUCGGGGCAGGGUGAGUCGACCCCUAAGGCGAGGCCGAAAGGCGUAGUCGAUGGGAAACAGGUUAAUAUUCCUGUACUUGGUGUUACUGCGAAGGGGGGACGGAGAAGGCUAUGUUGGCCGGGCGACGGUUGUCCCGGUUUAAGCGUGUAGGCUGGUUUUCCAGGCAAAUCCGGAAAAUCAAGGCUGAGGCGUGAUGACGAGGCACUACGGUGCUGAAGCAACAAAUGCCCUGCUUCCAGGAAAAGCCUCUAAGCAUCAGGUAACAUCAAAUCGUACCCCAAACCGACACAGGUGGUCAGGUAGAGAAUACCAAGGCGCUUGAGAGAACUCGGGUGAAGGAACUAGGCAAAAUGGUGCCGUAACUUCGGGAGAAGGCACGCUGAUAUGUAGGUGAAGUCCCUUGCGGAUGGAGCUGAAAUCA
Molecule: ribosomal RNA, 558 nt
Filed under: Shigella sonnei
Lineage: Bacteria; Pseudomonadati; Pseudomonadota; Gammaproteobacteria; Enterobacterales; Enterobacteriaceae
Description: partial 23S ribosomal RNA
Rfam family: Bacterial large subunit ribosomal RNA
Source: RNAcentral